GGGGAUGUAGCUCAGUGGAAGAGCACUUGCCUAGCAUGCAUGAGGCCCUGGGUUCCACACACAUCAUCAGCA
Non-coding RNA from Fukomys damarensis (Damara mole-rat), 72 nucleotides. The record is from Rfam. Lineage: Eukaryota; Metazoa; Chordata; Mammalia; Rodentia; Bathyergidae.